GUACUUUGAAUAAUGUGACUCGGCUUUGUUUAUGGCAAGAGUGUUGUCCUUGCUAGCCAAGCGGCGUACUGACAUGAAACACAUAAUAAAAUCUGUUUGUAAUCACAAAAUGUGUACUUGCAAUUGAGCGAUUGUUUAUGGAUCAUACUACCACUAACUGAAAUAUUUUCUAAUAAGCUAAUUGCUGGAUCCUUUGGUGGUUUAAGUUAUUGAGUCUUUACUUGUGCUUUUUUUGAAAAGAGUUUAUAAUCGAAACUUGCAACAAAAAAUCUUGAAACCUUUACACAAAACCUAUUCACA
Hydra vulgaris (swiftwater hydra) is the source of this 300-nucleotide non-coding RNA. Lineage: Eukaryota; Metazoa; Cnidaria; Hydrozoa; Anthoathecata; Hydridae. The record is from RefSeq and is a predicted model, not a curated record.